GACGAACGCUGGCGGCGUGCUUAACACAUGCAAGUCGAACGGAAAGGCCCUGCUUUGUGGGGUGCCCGAGUGGCGAACGGGGGAGUAAAAAGUGAGUUACCUGCCCCUGACUUUGGGAUUACUUUCGGAAACCGGGGCUUAUACCGGAAAGGAGGCUCCGCUGCCAGGUGGGGGUUGGGAAGGUUCGGCGGUUGGGGAUGGACUCGCGGCUUAUCAGCUUGUUGGUGGGGUAGUGGCUUACCAAGGCUUUGACGGGUAGCCGGCCUGAGAGGGUGACCGGCCACAUUGGGACUGAGAUACGGCCCAGACUCCUACGGGAGGCAGCAGUGGGGAAUAUUGCACAAUGGGCGGAAGCCUGAUGCAGCAACGCCGCGUGCGGGAUGACGGCCUUCGGGUUGUAAACCGCUUUCGCCUGUGACGAAGCGUGAGUGACGGUAAUGGGUAAAGAAGCACCGGCUAACUACGUG
This 467-nucleotide ribosomal RNA is filed under the name uncultured bacterium. RNAcentral's name for it is "partial 16S ribosomal RNA". It matches the Rfam family "Bacterial small subunit ribosomal RNA", at positions 28 to 507 of the family's 1533-position model. The record is from RNAcentral.